This 847-nucleotide ribosomal RNA is filed under the name Micrococcus sp. Act69. RNAcentral's name for it is "bacterial SSU rRNA". It matches the Rfam family "Bacterial small subunit ribosomal RNA", at positions 598 to 1441 of the family's 1533-position model. The record is from RNAcentral. Lineage: Bacteria; Bacillati; Actinomycetota; Actinomycetes; Micrococcales; Micrococcaceae.
AAGUCCGGGGCUUAACCCCGGAUCUGCGGUGGGUACGGGCAGACUAGAGUGCAGUAGGGGAGACUGGAAUUCCUGGUGUAGCGGUGGAAUGCGCAGAUAUCAGGAGGAACACCGAUGGCGAAGGCAGGUCUCUGGGCUGUAACUGACGCUGAGGAGCGAAAGCAUGGGGAGCGAACAGGAUUAGAUACCCUGGUAGUCCAUGCCGUAAACGUUGGGCACUAGGUGUGGGGACCAUUCCACGGUUUCCGCGCCGCAGCUAACGCAUUAAGUGCCCCGCCUGGGGAGUACGGCCGCAAGGCUAAAACUCAAAGGAAUUGACGGGGGCCCGCACAAGCGGCGGAGCAUGCGGAUUAAUUCGAUGCGACGCGAAGAACCUUACCAAGGCUUGACAUGUUCUCGAUCGCCGUAGAGAUACGGUUUCCCCUUUGGGGCGGGUUCACAGGUGGUGCAUGGUUGUCGUCAGCUCGUGUCGUGAGAUGUUGGGUUAAGUCCCGCAACGAGCGCAACCCUCGUUCCAUGUUGCCAGCACGUCGUGGUGGGGACUCAUGGGAGACUGCCGGGGUCAACUCGGAGGAAGGUGAGGACGACGUCAAAUCAUCAUGCCCCUUAUGUCUUGGGCUUCACGCAUGCUACAAUGGCCGGUACAAUGGGUUGCGAUACUGUGAGGUGGAGCUAAUCCCAAAAAGCCGGUCUCAGUUCGGAUUGGGGUCUGCAACUCGACCCCAUGAAGUCGGAGUCGCUAGUAAUCGCAGAUCAGCAACGCUGCGGUGAAUACGUUCCCGGGCCUUGUACACACCGCCCGUCAAGUCACGAAAGUUGGUAACACCCGAAGCCGGUGGCCUAACCC